This 253-nucleotide long non-coding RNA is filed under the name Ananas comosus (pineapple). RNAcentral describes it as "long non-coding RNA (ACOM_LNC042578)". Lineage: Eukaryota; Viridiplantae; Streptophyta; Magnoliopsida; Poales; Bromeliaceae. The record is from RNAcentral.
UAGAGAGAGAGAGAGAGAGAGAGAAAGAGAGAGAGUUUUUCAGCUUUUGGAUCAACUCUUUUCAUUAUUUUUAACCAUUGGAUUAAAUACUAUAACUCAGUGAGAACCACUCGAUCAACCCUAGGGGGGCCACUCAACUCUAAUAGACUAAUAUCAUUCUGACCCUACAAUUUUUCAUCAAAUGGUUAAAACCUUGAUAGCAAAAAGAGCGUUUUACUAUUAAUAGUAUUCCAGCCUAAUUCUAUAUAUAUAU